Molecule: ribosomal RNA, 216 nt
Filed under: Triticum aestivum (bread wheat)
Lineage: Eukaryota; Viridiplantae; Streptophyta; Magnoliopsida; Poales; Poaceae
Description: partial small subunit ribosomal RNA
Source: RNAcentral
AUGCCAUUCGGAUUGACGAACGCCCCGAUAACGUUUCAAUGCCUGAUGAAUGCUAUCUUUGCCAAAUACACCCAUAAGUUUGUCAUCAUCUUUCUGGACGACAUUCUCGUUUUCAGUGAGACCCUGGAGGAACACAUCGAGCAUCUUCGCCUCGUCCUCAACCUGCUCCGCGAGCAUCAGCUUUACGCCAAGAUGUCCAAGUGCUCGUUCGCCUAA